CCUACGGGAGGCAGCAGUGAGGAAUAUUGGUCAAUGGGAGAGAUCCUGAACCAGCCAAGCCGCGUGAGGGAAGACGGCCCUAUGGGUUGUAAACCUCUUUUGUCGGAGAACAAAACCCGGGACGUGUCCCGGACUGCGUGUAUCCGAAGAAAAAGCAUCGGCUAACUCCGUGCCAUCAGCCGCGGUAAUACGGAGGAUGCGAGCGUUAUCCGGAUUUAUUGGGUUUAAAGGGUGCGUAGGCGGGCCGUUAAGUCAGCGGUAAAAUGGCGGGGCUCAACCCCGUCGAGCCGUUGAAACUGGCAGACUUGAGUUGGCGAGAAGUACGCGGAAUGCGCGGUGUAGCGGUGAAAUGCAUAGAUAUCGCGCAGAACUCCGAUUGCGAAGGCAGCGUACCGGCGCCAGACUGACGCUGAGGCACGAAAGCGUGGGGAUCGAACAGGAUUAGAUACCCCGGUAGUC
RNAcentral lists this ribosomal RNA (459 nucleotides) under uncultured bacterium. Its description in RNAcentral is "partial 16S ribosomal RNA". It matches the Rfam family "Bacterial small subunit ribosomal RNA", at positions 338 to 795 of the family's 1533-position model. The record is from RNAcentral.